This 324-nucleotide unclassified non-coding RNA is filed under the name uncultured fungus. Its description in RNAcentral is "partial contains 5.8S ribosomal RNA, internal transcribed spacer 2, and large subunit ribosomal RNA". The stretch from base 1 to 52 matches the Rfam family "5.8S ribosomal RNA", at positions 103 to 154 of the family's 154-position model. Lineage: Eukaryota; Fungi. The record is from RNAcentral.
AACGCACCUUGCGCCCUUUGGUAUUCCGAAGGGCAUGCCUGUUUGAGUGUCGUGAAACUCUCAACCCCCUCGUUUUGUAAUGAAGCUGAGUGUGGGCUUGGAUUGUGGUCGUCUGUCGGUCCCUUGGGAUCGGCUCGACUGAAAUACAUCAGCGUACCUGCACUUCGGUAGCAGUAGCUUAUCUUAGCGUGAUAUUACUAUUCGCUUAGAUUACUACAUCGCAUUAUUCCGAGUACAGUGACGCUCUAUAGAGCCUUUAUCAGGAGACUGAUAAAUACUUAAACUCAAGACCUCAGAUCAGGCAGGACUACCCGCUGAACUUAA